Molecule: non-coding RNA, 27 nt
Filed under: Homo sapiens (human)
Lineage: Eukaryota; Metazoa; Chordata; Mammalia; Primates; Hominidae
Source: RNAcentral
UGGAAGUGGAUUUCCGGUGAAGGAUGG